This 1382-nucleotide ribosomal RNA is filed under the name Helicobacter pylori. Its description in RNAcentral is "16S ribosomal RNA". It matches the Rfam family "Bacterial small subunit ribosomal RNA". The record is from RNAcentral. Lineage: Bacteria; Pseudomonadati; Campylobacterota; Epsilonproteobacteria; Campylobacterales; Helicobacteraceae.
ACGCUGGCGGCGUGCCUAAUACAUGCAAGUCGAACGAUGAAGCUUCUAGCUUGCUAGAAGUGGAUUAGUGGCGCACGGGUGAGUAACGCAUAGGUCAUGUGCCUCUUAGUUUGGGAUAGCCAUUGGAAACGAUGAUUAAUACCAGAUACUCCCUACGGGGGAAAGAUUUAUCGCUAAGAGAUCAGCCUAUGUCCUAUCAGCUUGUUGGUAAGGUAAUGGCUUACCAAGGCUAUGACGGGUAUCCGGCCUGAGAGGGUGAACGGACACACUGGAACUGAGACACGGUCCAGACUCCUACGGGAGGCAGCAGUAGGGAAUAUUGCUCAAUGGGGGAAACCCUGAAGCAGCAACGCCGCGUGGAGGAUGAAGGUUUUAGGAUUGUAAACUCCUUUUGUUAGAGAAGAUAAUGACGGUAUCUAACGAAUAAGCACCGGCUAACUCCGUGCCAGCAGCCGCGGUAAUACGGAGGGUGCAAGCGUUACUCGGAAUCACUGGGCGUAAAGAGCGCGUAGGCGGGAUAGUCAGUCAGGUGUGAAAUCCUAUGGCUUAACCAUAGAACUGCAUUUGAAACUACUAUUCUAGAGUGUGGGAGAGGUAGGUGGAAUUCUUGGUGUAGGGGUAAAAUCCGUAGAGAUCAAGAGGAAUACUCAUUGCGAAGGCGACCUGCUGGAACAUUACUGACGCUGAUUGCGCGAAAGCGUGGGGAGCAAACAGGAUUAGAUACCCUGGUAGUCCACGCCCUAAACGAUGGAUGCUAGUUGUUGGAGGGCUUAGUCUCUCCAGUAAUGCAGCUAACGCAUUAAGCAUCCCGCGUGGGGAGUACGGUCGCAAGAUUAAAACUCAAAGGAAUAGACGGGGACCCGCACAAGCGGUGGAGCAUGUGGUUUAAUUCGAGGAUACACGAAGAACCUUACCUAGGCUUGACAUUGAGAGAAUCCGCUAGAAAUAGUGGAGUGUCUAGCUUGCUAGACCUUGAAAACAGGUGCUGCACGGCUGUCGUCAGCUCGUGUCGUGAGAUGUUGGGUUAAGUCCCGCAACGAGCGCAACCCCCUUUCUUAGUUGCUAACAGGUCAUGCUGAGAACUCUAAGGAUACUGCCUCUGUAAGGAGGAGGAAGGUGGGGACGACGUCAAGUCAUCAUGGCCCUUACGCCUAGGGCUACACACGUGCUACAAUGGGGUGCACAAAGAGAAGCAAUACUGCGAAGUGGAGCCAAUCUUCAAAACGCCUCUCAGUUCGGAUUGUAGGCUGCAACUCGCCUGCAUGAAGCUGGAAUCGCUAGUAAUCGCAAAUCAGCCAUGUUGCGGUGAAUACGUUCCCGGGUCUUGUACUCACCGCCCGUCACACCAUGGGAGUUGUGUUUGCCUUAAGUCAGGAUGCUAA